AACCUGCCCAAGAGAUCGGGAUAACACCUGGAAACAGAUGCUAAUACCGGAUAACAAUAGAUGAUGCCUAUCAACUGUUUAAAAGAUGGUUCUGCUAUCACUCUUGGAUGGACCUGCGGUGCAUUAGCUAGUUGGUAGGGUAACGGCCUACCAAGGCGAUGAUGCAUAGCCGAGUUGAGAGACUGAUCGGCCACAUUGGGACUGAGACACGGCCCAAACUCCUACGGGAGGCAGCAGCC
RNAcentral lists this ribosomal RNA (239 nucleotides) under uncultured Lactobacillus sp. Its description in RNAcentral is "partial 16S ribosomal RNA". It matches the Rfam family "Bacterial small subunit ribosomal RNA", at positions 123 to 355 of the family's 1533-position model. Lineage: Bacteria; Bacillati; Bacillota; Bacilli; Lactobacillales; Lactobacillaceae. The record is from RNAcentral.